Molecule: ribosomal RNA, 955 nt
Filed under: Russula sp.
Lineage: Eukaryota; Fungi; Basidiomycota; Agaricomycetes; Russulales; Russulaceae
Description: partial 28S large subunit ribosomal RNA
Rfam family: Eukaryotic large subunit ribosomal RNA
Source: RNAcentral
UAAGCAUAUCAAUAAGCGGAGGAAAAGAAACUAACAAGGAUUCCCCUAGUAACUGCGAGUGAAGCGGGAAAAGCUCAAAUUUAAAAUCUGGUGGUCUUUGGCCAUCCGAGUUGUAAUUUAGAGAAGCGUCUUCCGCGCUGGACCAUGCACAAGUCUCCUGGAAUGGAGCGUCAUAGAGGGUGAGAAUCCCGUCUUUGGCAUGGACCCCAGGGCUUCUGUGAUGCGCUCUCAAAGAGUCGAGUUGUUUGGGAAUGCAGCUCAAAAUGGGUGGUGAACUCCAUCUAAAGCUAAAUAUUGGCGAGAGACCGAUAGCGAACAAGUACCGUGAGGGAAAGAUGAAAAGCACUUUGGAAAGAGAGUGAAACAGUACGUGAAAUUGUUGAAAGGGAAACGCUUGAAGUCAGUCGCGUCGACCGAGACUCAGCCUUGCCUUGGCUUGGUGUACUUCUCGGCUGACGGGUCAGCAUCAAUUUCGAUCCUUGGAUAAUGGCAAGGGAAAGGUAGCACCUUUAYAGGUGUGUUAUAGUCCUCUGUCGGAYGCAAGGGUUGGGAUUGAGGAACUCAGCACGCGCCUUGUCGGUGUCGGGGCCUUUUGGCCUACGUACGUGCUUAGGAUGCUGGCAUAAUGGCUUUAAACGACCCGUCUUGAAACACGGACCAAGGAGUCUAACAUGCACGCGAGUGUUCGGGUGGAAAACCCGUGCGCGUAAUGAAAGUAAAAGUUGGGACCUCUGUCGUGGAGGGCACCGACGCCCGGACCAGACCUUCUGUGACGGCUCUGCGGUAGAGCGUGUAUGUUGGGACCCGAAAGAUGGUGAACUAUGCCUGAAUAGGGUGAAGCCAGAGGAAACUCUGGUGGAGGCUCGUAGCGAUUCUGACGUGCAAAUCGAUCGUCAAAUUUGGGUAUAGGGGCGAAAGACUAAUCGAACCAUCUAGUAGCUGGUUCCUGCCGAAG